GGCCUGGUGGUGUAGUGGUAGCGCACUCUUUCCUAUUCUGAGUUUGAUGUAUCAGAGUCGGAGGAGGUCCCCCGUUCCAUCCGGGGCCAGGCCG
This is a non-coding RNA of Mycena maculata, 94 nucleotides long. The record is from the annotation of a GenBank genome assembly. NCBI's taxonomy places the organism in Eukaryota, Fungi, Basidiomycota, Agaricomycetes, Agaricales, Mycenaceae.